RNAcentral lists this ribosomal RNA (458 nucleotides) under uncultured bacterium. Its description in RNAcentral is "partial 16S ribosomal RNA". It matches the Rfam family "Bacterial small subunit ribosomal RNA", at positions 338 to 795 of the family's 1533-position model. The record is from RNAcentral.
ACUACGGGCUGCAGCAGUGAGGAAUAUUGGUCAAUGGGCGAGAGCCUGAACCAGCCAAGUCGCGUGAGGGAGUCCUGCCCUAUGGGUUGUAAACCUCUUUUGUCGGGGAGCAAAAGCAGGACGUGUCCGGCUGUGAGAGUACCCGACGAAAAAGCAUCGGCUAACUCCGUGCCAGCAGCCGCGGUAAUACGGAGGAUGCGAGCGUUAUCCGCAUUUAGUGUGUUUAAAGGGUGCACAGGCGGAUUUUUAAGUCAGCGGUCAAAUCGUGGGGCUCAACCCCAUCCAGCUGGUGAAACUGGGGAUCUAGAGUGUGCGAGAGGUAUGAGGAAUGCGUGGUGUAGCGGUGAAAUGCAGAGAUAUCACGCAGAACCCCGAUUGCGAAGGCAGCAUACCGGUGCACAACUGACGCUCAGGCACGAAAGCGUGGGUAUCGAACAGGAUUAGAUACCCUUGUAGUC